UAGAAAGAAACCAAAAUAAACAUAAAAGUAUUUAAAGACAGUGAAAAGGACAUAAAAGAAAGGAAAGGAGGACGUUGAGGUGGAAACGAAAAAGAUUAUUCGUUAUUCAAUAUCUUAGAAGAAAAAUAACGAUAAACGGAAUGAUAUGAUUCGUUAUUACGAAAUAAUGACGUCAUUAACGUCAAGUAAGGUACUUGGGGGCGAAAACAGUUCGUAAGAAAUUCAGGGAGUAGGGGUAGUAAAAGUAAAAGAGAAUCGAAAGUGGGGUUACGAACGAGUAUAUAAAUUCGUAAAAAUUAUUGGUUCACCGAUGUGACUGACAAAAUGUGUUAGAGACGUGAACUUAUAGUCUAGGGUAAAUUCGAAUAAAUUUUUCAUUUUGUAUUUUUCAUUUUGAAUUGUAUUUUGAAAAUUAAAAGUUAUUUGACUUAGUUAAUUUUUUGUACCUUUAAUAUUAAACGUAAACUAAAUCAAUUAACUUUCAUUACUUGAGAUUGAAGGAAAGAGAAGAAAGGCGAGUGAGAGAGAGAAAGAGAGAGAGGAAAGAUUUAUCUACGUUUGUAUAUGAGUUUGUGUAUUUCAUUAUUUGUUAGAAAUCUAAAUUGUUAUUUAACAUUUAAAAGGAAAAGUUUGGUGGUCGUCGAUUUCUCUGAUUUUAUAUAUCUACGUUAUCAAAUCGAGGUAGUAGAAGAAGAAAUUGAUCAAGGAUUUUUCUUUCUAGGAAAAGAUAGGUAUAUGCAUUUUCUAUUUUUUUCUAUUUUUCUUUUUACAUCUUCCUACUUGGUCCAAGGAAUGUACCGUUCCGAUUUCUAAUUACUUACGUAUAGAAAUUAAAGGAAUAUUUAGAAAAAGAGAGCAAAACUAUGUCGUUUGCGAAAUCAAUUUUGACUUUGUCUUUGAUCGUAUGCCUUUUAUAAUCUAUUUGGAAUAAGACAAGUUAUUACUACAAUAUCUAUUAAAUUUCUUGUUGCUGUUUAGUAUUUUUUGAUAAAUAAGUACUUUUGAGAAUGGAGAGCAUUUUGUAUGAGAGUAUUAAGUAAGAAGGAUCAUUCGUCAUUUUAAGGUAAAACGUUUUCUCGUUCGGUAACCUCCUCGCCGAUUUGUAUUCCGCGAAUUUGUCGGUUACGUUAUUAUCGCUCAUUGAAAUCUUUUAUUCUCGGAAAAUUUCAUAGAUUUUAAAAUAAACUUUGCAAGAUUAUUCGCAUUUCUUUUUCUUAUCUUAAGCGAGCCAGUCAUAUAUUCUUGAUUUGUUAUUUUGAUGUAAAACAACUAAUUUAUAUAAACGAGGAGAUAUUUCGAUAUUUCGUUUUUCCCCUCCAUUCUUUUCUUUUUCUCUUUGUAUGUGUCUUUUUCUUAAAUGUGGCCAUUACUUUCUUCGAGUCAUUUCAAUGAUAUUCGAGCACAUUUUAUAUCGUUUCCACUGUUUCUUUGCCGCGACUUCUCUAUUUAUGAAAAUUUGACAUUUGAUUUAACUUUCGACACGAUUAUCGAUUUCUAUUAUCACAGUUUUAAAAGGCAAAUAAUUUUUUAAUCAUAUAAGUGAUAUCAAUAAAAGAUGAUUUUAUUAUUCCUGACUCUUUCUUUUUUAUCCUUUUUCGAUGUUAACGAAUAAAAUGAGGUUGAACGUGAAAACUUCUUUUCCUCUCUUUGAAACGUGACAAACGGUUCUCGAGCCUUCUACUAUGACCCUCGGCUCGUAGAUAAAGUAAGGGACAAUGAGAUUUGACCAAAAGUCAAAAAUAUCAUUUUUCAUUUCUAUCGUUGCUCCACUUAAAUAAAUCAACUGGACCUACCUACGUUACUUUUCCUUUUUAUUUUCUUUGAUAUUUCUAGCCAAUAGAAAAAAGAGGUGUACAAAGCUCAUGGUAACCGAAGGUUUAUUUAUAGCUUAUGUAUCAUCGUCAAUAUAUUUAACCUUCAAAUUAUUCAAACUAUCCUUUUUCGCAUUUGAUCUAACAUUUUUGUCCUUCUAAUAUACGGUUUCAAUACGUAGAGUGUAGCUAUUCGAUUAAGAAUAUCUUUUUCCUAGAUAUUAUUUAAAAAAUUUUUCAACAAUGUCCCUUCAAAAUUAGUAGCAAUAAAUUGACAAAGAGCAAUAUUAUUCCCAUUAUUCUUCAACCAUACCCGCUUGGAAUAAUACUGAUAGAACUGUAGUAAUCGUUAGAAUCUCAUUUUCUAUUUUUUUCUUCAUUUCUUAAUUUAUUGUCCUGUGUUAGUGAACUUUCAUGUAGACCUAUUUUCACAUAUAUAUACAUAAGUAGAUACUUUUCUCACUCUCUUAAUCUUCCUUGUGUUUUAUCGUUUGCAAUAUUUUCUCUUUCUCUAUCUAUAAAAUGUCGCUUUUCUAUCUUCAAUGGAAUUUUCUGGAUCAUAGAACUGAUUCUUUUUUCACUUUUUUCAGAGAAAAGUAUCAUUAGGAGAUGAGUACAACGAUUUUGGAAUAUUAUCAGAUGGAUAUGCUAGUAAUUAUACAUUUCUUAUGAUCGGAACUGUCUCAGCUACAAAUUGCAGUUUAUUAUUUUGAAAUCAUACUCAACAGCAUCCAAAUAAUGUACAUUUUAACAAACUAUUCGUAACGCACUAUGAAAGAUUUUUUAAAUGAAUAUUAACUUAUCCAUAUUAUUCAACGAAUUUAAACAAAUUGAUUAUCUUUAAUGGAUCUGAAUAGUGUUACAAAAAUCAUGUCUAUCAGGAAUAAUGGAUAUAUUUUUCUCUGUUCAAGUUAUUACGCAGAGUAUUUAAACAGAGCAAGUAUUCUCGAGCAUAUCUAAUUAUUAUAACAACAAUUUCGAUAAUCAAAAUAUUGAAAUGGACAGAGACAGAUAUCCAGAAAUGUCUGUAACGAUAGUUCUUUACCUAGUUUAGGAGAAUAAAUCGCCAAUUAUCGUCAAUUACCGUAAAUUUCUAUUACCAUCGAUAUAAAUUCCCAGGGAAGAGUAAAAACAUUUCGAUACAAAAAAUGCCAAACUCAUUGUUGUAACUAUAAAGAAUUUUGUAAUAUAAUCGAAACAAAAGAUGACACUCUACUAGCGAAUCCAAAUUAUACAUUCGUGAUAGAUUAUUUAGCACCAUAUGAAAUAUUAUUUAAAAAAUUAUUUCUGUUAAAAACCGAAUAAUCUAAUGUUCUUAUUAUGCGUAAACAAUUCAAUGCUAAAUAGCCAUUUAAAUUCUCAUUAGAUAAUUGUCGGUAUAGAUAUAUAUAGAGUUACUAUAUAAUUACUUUAUAAUGGAAUAUUAUCACUAAAAUUAUAAUAUACUCAUUUGUCGGUGAUGAUAUUGAAUUUACUGAUGAUGUUGAUUGUUUACUAAAUCUGUUGCUGAUUACAGUAUAGCACAAAAAUAGGUCUAAGAAAAAUAUCGACAGUAGAGAAUAAGCAGGAAAGGAGUUCAAUUGUCGAACGUUGAACAAAAACACGAUGCAGAAAACGAAAACUCCUUCGAGAUGAUUCUCUUCUAAAAAUCUAAUAAUCGUUAUGAUAACGUCUAUCUGACUCUUACUCAUUAAUAUAGCUGAUGUCAUGAUUAAUGGUCUAGCAAUGGAUUAAAAAUUACAGAUCAUUGUAUGCAGUUUAAUCUGUUUUGAUUUUCUUAUCCUAGAACAUUUUCCAUUAGAAAAAAAAAUACAGGAAAUGUUCGUACCAUUGAAUCUACGUAAUUUCUCAUCUUCCUUGGAACGAUGAUCAUUUGCUCGAGUAAAAGUCCAGCUAAAUCAACAAAAGCAACUGGUACUAUGCUGAACAGGGAAGGCAUAUAAAUGAUCGUCGAUAAGUUUUUUCGGAGAAUACAUUCGAAGAAGAAACAACAUCAGUAUUUUCUAAACGAAUUUUAUAAAAUCGACUCCAAUUCUCUUUGUACCUUGGAAGAUCGCUUAGAAGAUUAUCAAUUACAGAACCAUAAUAACACCGAUCAGAAGAUCAUUCGAAAAACUAUUUGAAAGAUCGUCCAGAAUAUAAAUCUUCAUUAUAUUUCAGAUAUUCGUUUAAAAAAAUGUUCAUAUUGUAAGAUCUAGCAAUGUAAUGAUUAAUAUGCUUCUAAUAAAGUUGAGUAUAAAUUCAUCAACAA
This is a long non-coding RNA of Vespa crabro (European hornet), 4062 nucleotides long. RefSeq lists it as uncharacterized. The transcript is spliced from 2 exons. The record is from RefSeq and is a predicted model, not a curated record. NCBI's taxonomy places the organism in Eukaryota, Metazoa, Arthropoda, Insecta, Hymenoptera, Vespidae.